This 1495-nucleotide ribosomal RNA is filed under the name Vibrio parahaemolyticus. RNAcentral describes it as "partial 23S ribosomal RNA". It matches the Rfam family "Bacterial large subunit ribosomal RNA", at positions 1 to 1547 of the family's 2925-position model. Lineage: Bacteria; Pseudomonadati; Pseudomonadota; Gammaproteobacteria; Vibrionales; Vibrionaceae. The record is from RNAcentral.
GUUGUAUGGUUAAGUGACUAAGCGUACACGGUGGAUGCCUUGGCAGUCAGAGGCGAUGAAAGACGUAGUAACUUGCGAUAAGCCCAGAUUAGGUAGUAACAACCAUUUGAGUCUGGGAUUUCUGAAUGGGGAAACCCACGUGCAUAAGCACGUAUCCUUACCUGAAUACAUAGGGUAAGGAGGCGAACCGGGGGAACUGAAACAUCUAAGUACCCCGAGGAAAAGAAAUCAACCGAGAUUCCGAAAGUAGCGGCGAGCGAAAUUGGACUAGCCCUUAAGCUUUACACGCGUUAGACGAACGGUCUGGAAAGUCCGACGAUACAGGGUGAUAGUCCCGUAGUUGACGACGUGUGUUCAGUGAAAUCGAGUAGGGCGGGACACGUGAUAUCCUGUCUGAAUAUGGGGGGACCAUCCUCCAAGGCUAAAUACUACUGACUGACCGAUAGUGAACCAGUACCGUGAGGGAAAGGCGAAAAGAACCCCUGUGAGGGGAGUGAAAUAGAACCUGAAACCGUGUACGUACAAGCAGUAGGAGCAGGCUUUGUCCUGUGACUGCGUACCUUUUGUAUAAUGGGUCAGCGACUUAUAUUCAGUGGCAAGGUUAACCAUCUAGGGGAGCCGUAGGGAAACCGAGUCUUAACUGGGCGUUCAGUCUCUGGAUAUAGACCCGAAACCAGGUGAUCUAGCCAUGGGCAGGUUGAAGGUUGAGUAACAUCAACUGGAGGACCGAACCGACUAAUGUUGAAAAAUUAGCGGAUGACUUGUGGCUAGGGGUGAAAGGCCAAUCAAACCUGGAGAUAGCUGGUUCUCCCCGAAAGCUAUUUAGGUAGCGCCUCGGACGAAUACUACUGGGGGUAGAGCACUGUUAAGGCUAGGGGGUCAUCCCGACUUACCAACCCUUUGCAAACUCCGAAUACCAGUAAGUACUAUCCGGGAGACACACGGCGGGUGCUAACGUCCGUCGUGGAGAGGGAAACAACCCAGACCGCCAGCUAAGGUCCCAAAUUACUACUAAGUGGGAAACGAUGUGGGAAGGCUCAGACAGCCAGGAUGUUGGCUUAGAAGCAGCCAUCAUUUAAAGAAAGCGUAAUAGCUCACUGGUCGAGUCGGCCUGCGCGGAAGAUGUAACGGGGCUAAGUAGUAAACCGAAGCUGCGGCAAUAUACUUUUGUAUAUUGGGUAGGGGAGCGUUCUGUAAGCGGUUGAAGGUGUGUGGUAACGCAUGCUGGACGUAUCAGAAGUGCGAAUGCUGACAUGAGUAACGAUAAAGGGGGUGAAAAACCUCCUCGCCGGAAGACCAAGGGUUCCUGUCCAACGUUAAUCGGGGCAGGGUAAGUCGACCCCUAAGGCGAGGCCGAAAGGCGUAGUCGAUGGGAAACGGGUUAAUAUUCCCGUACUUCUUACAAUUGCGAUGGGGGGACGGAGAAGGCUAGGUGGGCCUGGCGACGGUUGUCCAGGUUCAAGUGCGUAGGCUUAAGAGUUAGGUAAAUCCGGCU